UACGUAGGUGGCAAGCGUUAUCCGGAUUUACUGGUGUAAAGGGCGUGUAGGCGGUUUGCAAGUCAGAUGUGAAAUCUCCGGCUUAACCCGGAACUGCAUCUGAAACUGCAGAACUUGAGUACUGGAGAGGAUAGUGGAAUUCCUAGUGUAGCGGUAAAAUGCGUAGAUAUUAGGAGGAACACCAGUGGCGAAGGCGACUAUCUGGACAGUAACUGACGCUGAGGCGCGAAAGCGUGGGGAGCAAACAGGAUUAGAUACCCUGGUA
RNAcentral lists this ribosomal RNA (265 nucleotides) under uncultured prokaryote. Its description in RNAcentral is "partial 16S ribosomal RNA". It matches the Rfam family "Bacterial small subunit ribosomal RNA", at positions 524 to 792 of the family's 1533-position model. The record is from RNAcentral.